This is a long non-coding RNA of Bubalus bubalis (water buffalo), 546 nucleotides long. RefSeq lists it as uncharacterized. NCBI's taxonomy places the organism in Eukaryota, Metazoa, Chordata, Mammalia, Artiodactyla, Bovidae. The transcript is spliced from 4 exons. The record is from RefSeq and is a predicted model, not a curated record.
UGAACAGGACCAUCAGAUUCCAUUUUGCAUGCAAGCUGGAGGAUAGCUGAUUCACUGUGGGCUACCUUGUAUGAGUUUUGGGCUUUGGGUCCAUGAUGGUUUGUAGGCUCACCCAGUGAAACCCAAGCCUCUGAAUGCUGUGGAAGCUGGUUAGGAAGAAAAUUCACCUUUCAAAUGUGUUCUGAGUCACCAGGAAAACAAGUGUCGGCGGUGGAUGGAAUGCUAAGAAGUCUGAAAGUCCAUUGGCCAGAACCACCAGGAGGCUCCACCCACAUCAAGGCAGUGAAGGAGGGGGAGGUGCUGGGAUUACAGCCUUCCCGCAUGCCUGGAAAGAGGAGCACUGAAAAGGCACAGGAUCUGGAAGCUGUGAAGGACUUGAGCAAGAAUUGCCAGGCACAGGACAAGCAAGGCCUCAGAGCAUAUUUGAAAUAAUUUCUUAGGGGAUGAAACUGCUAAGGUCACUUCCUCUUUGCCAGGAACUAGGAUGGUGAAGGUCCUAGAAGGAGUGAGAAGUCUUAAGGUCAGGAGAGAAGCUCUGCUGAGGGG